This is a long non-coding RNA of Puntigrus tetrazona (Sumatra barb), 1573 nucleotides long. RefSeq lists it as uncharacterized. The record is from RefSeq and is a predicted model, not a curated record. The transcript is spliced from 3 exons. Lineage: Eukaryota; Metazoa; Chordata; Actinopteri; Cypriniformes; Cyprinidae.
CUGAUGCUCAUCUUCACUUGUAGACACCAGCAUUUUUACUGAACUGCAGUGGGAGGAGCUUCACUGAAGGUUCUUGUGGAAGGAGCUUCACUGAAGAACACCGCCUCAGUGCCCUCCUUACAGAAUACUUCGCUUACUGAGAAUCUAGCGGGGACUGCCAAUCUUCUAGCAGCAAUCGUUUAUCAGCAAGACUUGUUGAAAAAGUUAUCAAGAGCAGCUCAACAAGCUGCAAGCGGUAAACAAACACCUCAUACACUCCAUUCGAACUGGUAAGCUUUGCUUUACCUAGUAAGUUUGAUGGUUCUGCUAACCAGUGUAAGAGCUUUCUACUCCAGCAGCUGACUACGUUAUUGAGUUUAGGACUCUCGCUGCUCAGAGCAGCUGGAAUGACGUGGCCCUAAAAGCUACAUUCGAAAUAGUCCGAAUCUUACUUACAGUCUGAGUUAGGGGAGGAUAUGUCUUUUCAGAUUUUGUCACAACGACCAUAAAGAUCAACAAUCUGACUUCAGACGAUGUCAAACUUCAGUCGAUGAACCCAUGCAAGUGAACACUUUUCGACUAUCAGAAAAGAAAAGAGAGAUGUCAGCUUCAUAACCUGUUUUUACUGCGCUGAAGCAGGCCAUCACAGCUCAGGCUGUCCUCAUAAGUCUCAACAUGCUCCCAGGCAAUGAUCGACUCAUCCCCAACUCAUACAACAUUCCCAUGCAGCCUUCAAAUCCACCCAUAAACAUCAAAGCCAUCAACGACACCCUUCAUCUCCCAAUGAACCCAUCUUCCACGAAGAGUCAAUUACAUUAUACAUUGUCGAUUCACCCAAGCACAAGGUUAUUCUCGGGUUCCCCGGCUCUCGAGCCAUGUUCCCAAAAUCUCAUGGUACCAUUGUGAAAUAACUGGCUGGUCCACAUUCUGCCAUGCUCACUGAUUUUCUUCCAAACCAGCACCCUAUUUGACUACCAGUAGAGCCCUAUUACUCAGAAACCGAUAAUAUCCCUUCAUGUUACCAGGAGCUUCUUGAAGUGUUCAGUAAAGUUAAGGCAACUCAGUUACCCCCACCGACCAUGGGAUUGUGCUAUUGAUCUCUUACCAAAUGCCAUGCCUUCACAAAGCAACACUUACCCCCUCUCUCAAACUGAAAAUUAGGCAAUGGAAGAAUAUAUUGAAGAGGUGCUGCAAUCAGGUUUGAUUCCCCCUCAACCCGCCACAGCCAGAAUGCAUAUAGUUAUGUAUGUGUGUGAUCCUUAGAACAUCUGUAUUGAUUUCAUGGAGUACGUGUUUGGUUCUGAAGGAUGGUGGUCAGCAGAAGCUGCGCUGGUACUUCAAGCUCUUCGACGUGGACCGCGAGGAGCUGCUGCUCAUCUUCAAGGUCUCUGAUGGUCCUGUGAUGUUGUGUUUGUCUUCAGCUCCACCUGCUGGAGUCACAGCCUGCGUGUGAACUGAAAUCAUCUGUGUAAGAGGAUCUCCACGUCACAGGAACACUUUCACAUGAUAAACUUUCAUCUGCUGUUGCUUUUCUGCUGCAGGCCAUUCGUGCCAUCAGUAGAAUAGAGCAGGAGAUCUCAAGAUCGACCUCAGU